This 300-nucleotide ribosomal RNA is filed under the name uncultured marine bacterium pC2-130. RNAcentral describes it as "bacterial SSU rRNA". It matches the Rfam family "Bacterial small subunit ribosomal RNA", at positions 527 to 826 of the family's 1533-position model. Lineage: Bacteria; Pseudomonadati; Pseudomonadota; Alphaproteobacteria. The record is from RNAcentral.
GGAGGGGGUUAGCGUUGUUCGGAAUUACUGGGCGUAAAGCGCACGUAGGCGGAUUAGUAAGUUAGAGGUGAAAUCCCAGGGCUCAACCCUGGAACUGCCUUUAAUACUGCUAGUCUUGAGUUCGAGAGAGGUAAGUGGAAUUCCGAGUGUAGAGGUGAAAUUCGUAGAUAUUCGGAGGAACACCAGUGGCGAAGGCGGCUUACUGGCUCGAUACUGACGCUGAGGUGCGAAAGUGUGGGGAGCAAACAGGAUUAGAUACCCUGGUAGUCCACACCGUAAACGAUGAAUGCCAGACGCUAG